This 515-nucleotide ribosomal RNA is filed under the name uncultured bacterium. Its description in RNAcentral is "bacterial SSU rRNA". It matches the Rfam family "Bacterial small subunit ribosomal RNA", at positions 9 to 523 of the family's 1533-position model. The record is from RNAcentral.
GAGUUUGAUCAUGGCUCAGGAUUAACGCUGGCGGCGUGCCUAACACAUGCAAGUCGAGCGAGAAGCUCAAAGUGAAGAUUUCGGUUGGAACUAAGAGUGGAAAGCGGCAGACGGGUGAGUAACGCGUGAAUAAUCAACCCUGCACAAAGGGAUAGCCUCGGGAAACCGGGAUUAAUACCAUAUGAAGUACAUUAAUCGAAUGAUAGAUGUAUUAAAGCUUUGGCGGUGCAGGACGAGUUCGCGUCCCAUUAGCUAGUUGGUAAGAUAAAAGCUUACCAAGGCAACGAUGGGUAGCCGGCCUGAGAGGGUGAACGGCCACACUGGAACUGAGACACGGUCCAGACUCCUACGGGAGGCAGCAGUGGGGAAUAUUGCACAAUGGAGGAAACUCUGAUGCAGCGACGCCGCGUGAGCGAAGAAGGCUUUCGAGUCGUAAAGCUCUGUCCUAAGAGAAGAAGAAGUGACGGUAACUUAGGAGGAAGCCCCGGCUAACUACGUGCCAGCAGCCGCGGUAA